AUGAACGCUAGCGGCAGGCCUAAUACAUGCAAGUCGGACGGGAUUGAGGAGCUUGCUUCUCAUGAGAGUGGCGCACGGGUGCGUAACACGUAUGUAACCUACCUUGUUCAGGGGGAUAGCCUCUCGAAAGAGAGAUUAAGACCGCAUAACGUUAUUGAAUGGCAUCAUUUGAUAACCAAAUAUUUAUAGGAACAAGAUGGGCAUGCGGAACAUUAGCUAGUUGGUAAGGUAACGGCUUACCAAGGCUACGAUGUUUAGGGGAUCUGAGAGGAUGACCCCCCACACUGGUACUGAGACACGGACCAGACUCCUACGGGAGGCAGCAGUAAGGAAUAUUGGUCAAUGGGCGGAAGCCUGAACCAGCCAUGCCGCGUGCAGGAAGACGGCCCUACGGGUUGUAAACUGCUUUUAUACGGGAAUAAACCUAYYUAYGWAUAARUAGCUGAAUGUACUGUAAGAAUAAGGAUCGGCUAACUCCGU
RNAcentral lists this ribosomal RNA (480 nucleotides) under Mucilaginibacter sp. RNAcentral describes it as "bacterial SSU rRNA". Lineage: Bacteria; Pseudomonadati; Bacteroidota; Sphingobacteriia; Sphingobacteriales; Sphingobacteriaceae. The record is from RNAcentral.